This 420-nucleotide ribosomal RNA is filed under the name bacterium. RNAcentral's name for it is "partial 16S ribosomal RNA". It matches the Rfam family "Bacterial small subunit ribosomal RNA", at positions 355 to 776 of the family's 1533-position model. The record is from RNAcentral.
UGGGGGAUAUUGCACAAUGGGCGAAAGCCUGAUGCAGCGACGCCGCGUGGGGGAUGAAGGCUUUCGGGUUGUAAACCUCUUUCGCUAUCGAACAAGGCCCGCUUAGGGUGGGUUGAGGGUAGGUGGAGAAGAAGCGCCGGCUAACUACGUGCCAGCAGCCGCGGUAAUACGUAGGGCGCGAGCGUUGUCCGGAAUUAUUGGGCGUAAAGGGCUUGUAGGCGGCUUGUUGCUCCUGCUGUGAAAACGCGGGGCUUAACUUCGCGUGUGCAGUGGGUACGGGCAGGCUUGAGUGUGGUAGGGGUGACUGGAAUUCCAGGUGUAGCGGUGGAAUGCGCAGAUAUCUGGAGGAACACCGAUGGCGAAGGCAGGUCACUGGGCCAUUACUGACGCUGAGGAGCGAAAGCAUGGGUAGCGAACAGG